CCCUUAGAUGUUCUGGGCUGCACGCGCGCUACACUGAUGCACUCAACGAGUUUACGACCUUGCCCGAUAGGGUUGGGUAAUCUUUUUAAAAUGCAUCGUGAUGGGGAUAGAUUAUUGCAAUUAUUAAUCUUCAACGAGGAAUUCCUAGUAAGCGCGAGUCAUAAGCUCGCGUUGAUUACGUCCCUGCCCUUUGUACACACCGCCCGUCGCUACUACCGAUUGGAUGGUUUAGUGAGAUCCUCGGAUUGGUCCCGGAGCGGCCUCUGGUCGUGCCGGAGUGCCGAAAAGAAUGUCGAACUUGAUCAUCUAGAGGAAGUAAAAGUCGUAACA
This 330-nucleotide ribosomal RNA is filed under the name uncultured eukaryote. RNAcentral describes it as "partial 18S ribosomal RNA". It matches the Rfam family "Eukaryotic small subunit ribosomal RNA", at positions 1470 to 1796 of the family's 1831-position model. The record is from RNAcentral.